AGGGUUUGAUCAUGGCUCAGAACGUACGCUGGCGGCACGCCUAACACAUGCAAGUCGAACGCAGUAGCAAUACUGAGUGGCAAACGGGUGAGUAUAAUGUGGGAAUCUGCCUUUUGGUCUGGAAUAACACGGGGAAACUUGUGCUAAUACCGGAUAAGCCUUUACGGGGAAAGUUUUAACGCCGAAAGAUGAGCCUGCACUUGAUUAGCUAGUUGGUAAGGUAAAAGCUUACCAAGGCAACGAUCAAUAGCUGUUCUUAGAGGAAGACCAGCCACAUUGGGACUGAGACACGGCCCAGACUCCUACGGGAGGCAGCAGUGGGGAAUCUUGCACAAUGGGGGAAACCCUGAUGCAGCGAUGCCGCGUGAGUGAAGAAGGCCCUUGGGUUGUAAAACUCUUUCGUCGGGGAAGAAAAUGACUGUACCCGAAUAAGAAGGUCCGGCUAACUUCGUGCCAGCAGCCGCGGUAAUAC
RNAcentral lists this ribosomal RNA (472 nucleotides) under uncultured bacterium. RNAcentral describes it as "bacterial SSU rRNA". It matches the Rfam family "Bacterial small subunit ribosomal RNA", at positions 8 to 526 of the family's 1533-position model. The record is from RNAcentral.